Molecule: ribosomal RNA, 25 nt
Filed under: Meconopsis horridula
Lineage: Eukaryota; Viridiplantae; Streptophyta; Magnoliopsida; Ranunculales; Papaveraceae
Description: partial 18S ribosomal RNA
Source: RNAcentral
GCUCAGUACUGCGGAGGACAUUGUC